RNAcentral lists this ribosomal RNA (547 nucleotides) under uncultured bacterium. RNAcentral's name for it is "bacterial SSU rRNA". It matches the Rfam family "Bacterial small subunit ribosomal RNA", at positions 336 to 876 of the family's 1533-position model. The record is from RNAcentral.
CUCCUACGGGAGGCAGCAGUGGGGAAUUUUGGACGAUGGGCGAAAGCCUGAUCCAGCAAUGCCGCGUGUGUGAAGAAGGCCUUCGGGUUGUAAAGCACUUUUGUCCGGAAAGAAAUGGCUCUGGUUAAUACCUGGGGUCGAUGACGGUACCGGAAGAAUAAGGACCGGCUAACUACGUGCCAGCAGCCGCGGUAAUACGUAGGGUCCAAGCGUUAAUCGGAAUUACUGGGCGUAAAGCGUGCGCAGGCGGUUGUGCAAGACCGAUGUGAAAUCCCCGAGCUUAACUUGGGAAUUGCAUUGGUGACUGCGCGGCUAGAGUGUGUCAGAGGGGGGUAGAAUUCCACGUGUAGCAGUGAAAUGCGUAGAGAUGUGGAGGAAUACCGAUGGCGAAGGCAGCCCCCUGGGAUAACACUGACGCUCAUGCACGAAAGCGUGGGGAGCAAACAGGAUUAGAUACCCUGGUAGUCCACGCCCUAAACGAUGUCAACUAGUUGUUGGGGAUUCAUUUCCUUAGUAACGUAGCUAACGCGUGAAGUUGACCGCCUGG